AAAUUGAAGAGUUUGAUCAUGGCUCAGAUUGAACGCUGGCGGCAGGCCUAACACAUGCAAGUCGAGCGGAAACGAGUUAUCUGAACCUUCGGGGRACGAUAACGGCGUCGAGCGGCGGACGGGUGAGUAAUGCCUAGGAAAUUGCCCUGAUGUGGGGGAUAACCAUUGGAAACGAUGGCUAAUACCGCAUGAUGCCUACGGGCCAAAGAGGGGGACCUUCGGGCCUCUCGCGUCAGGAUAUGCCUAGGUGGGAUUAGCUAGUUGGUGAGGUAAGGGCUCACCAAGGCGACGAUCCCUAGCUGGUCUGAGAGGAUGAUCAGCCACACUGGAACUGAGACACGGUCCAGACUCCUACGGGAGGCAGCAGUGGGGAAUAUUGCACAAUGGGCGCAAGCCUGAUGCAGCCAUGCCGCGUGUGUGAAGAAGGCCUUCGGGUUGUAAAGCACUUUCAGUCGUGAGGAAGGURGUGKWGUUAAUAGCWSYAUYAUUUGACGUUAGCGACAGAAGAAGCACCGGCUAACUCCGUGCCAGCAGCCGCGGUAAUACGGAGGGUGCGAGCGUUAAUCGGAAUUACUGGGCGUAAAGCGCAUGCAGGUGGUUUGUUAAGUCAGAUGUGAAAGCCCGGGGCUCAACCUCGGAAUUGCAUUUGAAACUGGCAGACUAGAGUACUGUAGAGGGGGGUAGAAUUUCAGGUGUAGCGGUGAAAUGCGUAGAGAUCUGAAGGAAUACCGGUGGCGAAGGCGGCCCCCUGGACAGAUACUGACACUCAGAUGCGAAAGCGUGGGGAGCAAACAGGAUUAGAUACCCUGGUAGUCCACGCCGUAAACGAUGUCUACUUGGAGGUUGUGGCCUUGAGCCGUGGCUUUCGGAGCUAACGCGUUAAGUAGACCGCCUGGGGAGUACGGUCGCAAGAUUAAAACUCAAAUGAAUUGACGGGGGCCCGCACAAGCGGUGGAGCAUGUGGUUUAAUUCGAUGCAACGCGAAGAACCUUACCUACUCUUGACAUCCAGAGAACUUUCCAGAGAUGGAUUGGUGCCUUCGGGAACUCUGAGACAGGUGCUGCAUGGCUGUCGUCAGCUCGUGUUGUGAAAUGUUGGGUUAAGUCCCGCAACGAGCGCAACCCUUAUCCUUGUUUGCCAGCGAGUAAUGUCGGGAACUCCAGGGAGACUGCCGGUGAUAAACCGGAGGAAGGUGGGGACGACGUCAAGUCAUCAUGGCCCUUACGAGUAGGGCUACACACGUGCUACAAUGGCGCAUACAGAGGGCAGCCAACUUGCGAAAGUGAGCGAAUCCCAAAAAGUGCGUCGUAGUCCGGAUUGGAGUCUGCAACUCGACUCCAUGAAGUCGGAAUCGCUAGUAAUCGUGGAUCAGAAUGCCACGGUGAAUACGUUCCCGGGCCUUGUACACACCGCCCGUCACACCAUGGGAGUGGGCUGCAAAAGAAGUAGGUAGUUUAACCUUCGGGGGGACGCUUACCACUUUGUGGUUCAUGACUGGGGUGAAGUCGUAACAAGGUAGCGCUAGGGGAACCUGGCGCUGGAUCACCUCCUUAUACACACCGCCCGUCACACCAUGGGAGUGGGCUGCAAAAGAAGUAGGUAGUUUAACCUUCGGGGGGACGCUUACCACUUUGUGGUUCAUGACUGGGGUGAAGUCGUAACAAGGUAGCGCUAGGGGAACCUGGCGCUGGAUCACCUCCUUAWACGAUGAU
Molecule: ribosomal RNA, 1712 nt
Filed under: Vibrio parahaemolyticus
Lineage: Bacteria; Pseudomonadati; Pseudomonadota; Gammaproteobacteria; Vibrionales; Vibrionaceae
Description: bacterial SSU rRNA
Rfam family: Bacterial small subunit ribosomal RNA
Source: RNAcentral